UCUUGUAAGCCUAAGUAGUGU
RNAcentral lists this non-coding RNA (21 nucleotides) under Arabidopsis thaliana (thale cress). Lineage: Eukaryota; Viridiplantae; Streptophyta; Magnoliopsida; Brassicales; Brassicaceae. The record is from RNAcentral.